CACUUCCAGGGACCUAGGGGCAGCCACAGCUUCUCUGGACAACAAGUUUACCCUCCCCAAAAGGCUGGAAAAGAGUGAGGAGAAGGGUUGGAAGCCCCCUUUGACUGAGGUUGAAAGCAUUAAGGUUUUGUUUGUCCAAACCAUUUAACCCACAUAUUUCAGCAGUGUGUGGCCAGGAUGCCUCCAGCCAUCCACACCUUUGAAAUCCACUAAGUCUCUAACUCGGUGCAGACACCUGGCAGCUCCUGAAAUAUGUAUGGGAGAGGGGAAAAGACAAAGGGAGUCCUGUUAGAGCUGCAUUUUACAUCAGGUUGCACCAAACCCCUGGAUUUCUCUUUCCUUGAACUUGAAGCUGGCAAUAAUUGAAGCCCAGAUUUGGCAGCUGCUGUUCUGACAUGAUAUUGCUGCCGGGUGUUAUGAAAACCACUAGAGCCAGAAACCAGUGCAAUAUUCUGUGCUUGGAGUUUGAGCUUUCAAACAUAUGAAGCAUCAAUCUCUCGCUAGCGGCUCCUGAGCUAUCAGUUCCUACAAUCAGGUGGAAAAGAGUCUUUCAAAAGUGCUUAGUUACUGGAACAGUACAAAUGCUUUCUGGACCAGUAAAUGCUUCCUCGUAUCGGUCCCAGUCCAUGAUUAGGAUGAUAAAAAUCUGGUCCCUGAGAAAAUGCACUGCCUGGAUGCUCCUAUUGCUGAAAAUGUCAGAAUAACCAGGAGGAUGAGGAAGGAUGCAGGGCCCUGGGAUCAGUUAUCUCACCCUACGGGGCUGCUUCCAGCUGUGUUCUUGCUCUUAUUUUUCUUUUUGUGGCAGAUGAGUGAUUUUCCCUCUUGAUCUUUUAAUAUGAAGUCUUUGCUCUUGAAUCUCUUAAUAGGCUGAUCCAAUCAUCCUCACCCCAUUGAUUAAUUUUUAAGGUUUAGGGUGAUUCAAGAUAUACCUGAAAUUUUUAGAGACAUGGAUGAUCUUUGGGGCAGGGGGUCAGACAUACACUUGGGUCUACCUAGAACAUGUAGAAAGUUUAUUAUUCCUUGUUUGAUAUUGCCAGGAUUAUAAUUGAACUAUUUUAAUUAAUUGAAUGAACCUGAUCCAUGUGUCUGAGUGCAAAGACAGCGUUGGUGUGGCUUGAGCUCUGUCUUCCAGGCUUCCAAAUCCAGAAUCCAGCCUUACAUUGGGUAAUCACUUCUACAAGCAUCACAUUUAGCUAUUUAAGCUCAUUUCAAAUCUUGGUUUGUGAUAUUGCCACUGAAACUGCCAGUUAUUCUUUGCAGUUGCUGUGACUUUAUCAGUUAUAAUGGGAAUUGUCAGUUAUAAUGGGAAUUGUGGGCUUGAGCCCCCUAGGAUGAUGAUUUGAGUGCUGAGGAUUGUUGCUAUUUUAACAAGAGUUUCAUGGAGCUUGUGCUUUUGAGCAUCAGACGCUGGGUGAAAGCAAUAUUUUAUUUAUUUCCUUGCAUAAUUUUGGGUUCAAGGGGCCAAUAAGCCUGGAACUUUUUGCUUUUUAAAGUUUUGUGGCUGGUGAGCGAUGGUGUGGGGCCAGAUCCAGUGGAAGGAGCAAAAACACUCUACCAUGGACCCAUUUCCUACCAGCAAUUUGUUUGAUUGUCACAACCCUGUCCCUAAAACAAUUGUGGGGGUUAAAUUUCCCCGUGUGACGUCACAGUGCCUCAGCUUCAUUUAUCUUGGAAGGAUGUAAAAGGUGGGGAUGUUUUCAAUUGAAACCAUCUCCAUUCUCAGCCCAUUUUGCAGGAGCCGUUUUACUGGUGAUGUGACAUGAUAUCAAUAACAAUGAGGUUUCUCGCUGCCUGCUCUCGUUGUUUAUGGAAAGGAGUUUCAGAAAACAUAUUAUUAUAGAGAAUAAUGGAUGGGCUGUAGGGAGACAAGGAAAUAAUUGCAUUGAGGGGGCUUGAAAACAUCAUAAAGCCAAGAAUGGAGUUUGGUUGGACUCUCAUGUCACAGGGUCCCAAGGAGUAAACUAAUUCUCCAUAAAUCUGUGCAGCCCAUUUAGACUUACGGGAUUUCUUUUCUUUCCUUCUCUACUAGAUUUUUUCUCCCCUUUUUUCUUUUGAAGAAACACCACAGAGGAGAUGGAAGUGAAAAAAAGCCACCCAAUCCCCAAUUAUGAUGAUUAAUUAUCCGUUUGUAUUUUGUUAGCACCUAUAGAUUCUCUGUCAGGGGCCUGAGAGUCAUCCAAGCACAGAGUAGAAAAACACACAGCCUUUUUCUAAGGAGCUUUCUUGGAGCUUUUUUAAAAAAGGAAUGAAUGAA
Non-coding RNA from Taeniopygia guttata (zebra finch), 2254 nucleotides. The record is from RefSeq and is a predicted model, not a curated record. NCBI's taxonomy places the organism in Eukaryota, Metazoa, Chordata, Aves, Passeriformes, Estrildidae.